GCUUCUAAUUGUAGCUCCCAGAACAUCAUGGGAAGGGGGUUCAGGGUAGAGCCCUGGGGUGUGGGAGAUGCGAAAAGAAGAGCCCCGCCAUCACGGCAGAGUGUGACGAUAACUUUUGUUUUUCCUUCUUGCGUUGUGUUUGGCACCAAGGGAAAAGAAGUCUGUGUGUGUGUCUUGAUGCCAGGCAAGACCUGUCCAGCUCACCCUCUCUCUCUUUUUACUGCCUCCUACCGCAGGCCAUGGGCAGGAGAAGUGCGCAUUGAUCCCCACAGGCUUGGUCUCGAGAGCCUGCACCAUCUAGCAGGAGGGAAGAGAAUCAUAGCGGGUCCUGGAGGCGACAGAGGGGGAGGUGGGGUGACUGGCCACGCAGCCCUUUGGCUCUGUCUCUUUUCAUCGCGUGGGGCUGCUCCAGAGCAUGUGGGAGACGGAGGGAGGCCGAGCUCUCGCGCACCGGUAGAGCUGUGGGCAGGGCUGCCUCGCUCGUCGGUUAUUUCCUGCGCUUGCAGAUGAGUCGCCCAGGAGCCCCAGGCAGAGGAGAAGCUGGAAGAAGUGGAGCUGAGCAGGCUGGACAUCCCGGUAAGCAGAGAUGAACAGUCCUGAGCUUUCUGCCUUUCCCACACUGGGUGUGAGUCAGCGGUGACGGCACUCUCUUCCUCAGCUCUUCCCAGGGGAAAGAAGUCAUGAGGACGGAGUCCAGCCCCGAGGUGAGAUGGAAAGUGAGCGAGAGCAGUGACAGCGUGAAUCCUGUUGAUGCCAGGCAAGACCUGUCCAGCUGGGAGCGAAGCAGCUGUCGCUGUGAGUGAGCACUGUGAUCGUGACCCCUGCUGGCCAGGCACCACUGGUAGCCAGAUGAGUCAGUGUUCUAGGAAGAGAAGGAGGAGGCUGCAGGAUGGCGAAGGAGAGAAAAUCAACACUGCAGGAGCAGGAGAAGGUAAAGACCAGGAGAAUCCAGAAGCCAAGUCACCAGAGAGGCACAGGGAACCUCUCUGCAACCUCCCCAAAACUCUCAUUUGAAGAGGGGUGUGGACUGUGGAAUAUGUAGCUUUCUCCCAAAAAACAUAAAGAAAUAGCUUUGAGCUCUGA
Long non-coding RNA from Chelonia mydas (Green sea turtle), 1083 nucleotides. RefSeq lists it as uncharacterized. Lineage: Eukaryota; Metazoa; Chordata; Testudines; Cheloniidae. The record is from RefSeq and is a predicted model, not a curated record. The transcript has 4 exons.